This 86-nucleotide transfer RNA is filed under the name Bradyrhizobium jicamae. RNAcentral describes it as "tRNA-Tyr". It matches the Rfam family "tRNA". From Rfam's summary of the family: Transfer RNA (tRNA) molecules are approximately 80 nucleotides in length. Their secondary structure includes four short double-helical elements and three loops (D, anti-codon, and T loops). Further hydrogen bonds mediate the characteristic L-shaped molecular structure. tRNAs have two regions of fundamental functional importance: the anti-codon, which is responsible for specific mRNA codon recognition, and the 3' end, to which the tRNAs corresponding amino acid is attached (by aminoacyl-tRNA synthetases). tRNAs cope with the degeneracy of the genetic code in two manners: having more than one tRNA (with a specific anti-codon) for a particular amino acid; and 'wobble' base-pairing, i.e. permitting non-standard base-pairing at the 3rd anti-codon position. Lineage: Bacteria; Pseudomonadati; Pseudomonadota; Alphaproteobacteria; Hyphomicrobiales; Nitrobacteraceae. The record is from RNAcentral. RNAcentral also lists the same sequence under 2 other names.
GCGUCAGUGCCUGAGUGGUUAAAAGGGCCCGACUGUAAAUCGGGUGGCUUAGUCCUUCGGUGGUUCAAAUCCAUCCUGACGCACCA